RNAcentral lists this ribosomal RNA (253 nucleotides) under uncultured bacterium. Its description in RNAcentral is "partial 16S ribosomal RNA". It matches the Rfam family "Bacterial small subunit ribosomal RNA", at positions 524 to 776 of the family's 1533-position model. The record is from RNAcentral.
UACGUAGGAGGCAAGCGUUGUCCGGAAUUACUGGGUGUAAAGCGCGUGUAGGCGGCAGGCCAAGUCUGUGGUGAAAUCGCUCGGCUCAACUGGGCGGGGUCCAUGGAAACUGGUCAGCUGGAGGACGGUAGAGGUGAGUGGAAUUCCCGGUGUAGUGGUGAAAUGCGUAGAUAUCGUCAGGAAUGCCGGUGGUGAAGACGGGUGACUGGGCUGGUUCUGACACUGAGGCACGAAAGCGUGGGGAGCGAACGGG